RNAcentral lists this small nucleolar RNA (130 nucleotides) under Neotoma lepida (desert woodrat). RNAcentral's name for it is "Small nucleolar RNA SNORA44". It matches the Rfam family "Small nucleolar RNA SNORA44". From Rfam's summary of the family: ACA44 is a member of the H/ACA class of snoRNA that guide the sites of modification of uridines to pseudouridines. Lineage: Eukaryota; Metazoa; Chordata; Mammalia; Rodentia; Cricetidae. The record is from Rfam by way of RNAcentral.
CAGCAUGUUUCCAAGGGCUAUGGCUGGUUGUGGCCAUGGGAUCUCCAACUGCAUGCCAGAGAAACUGGAGAGACUUUGACAGCCCAGGCCGGCACAGUGCCUGCAGCUGCCACUCGGCUUUCCUAUAUAU